RNAcentral lists this ribosomal RNA (330 nucleotides) under Triticum aestivum (bread wheat). Its description in RNAcentral is "partial small subunit ribosomal RNA". Lineage: Eukaryota; Viridiplantae; Streptophyta; Magnoliopsida; Poales; Poaceae. The record is from RNAcentral.
AUGUCAGAGGAUUUUGCAUUCAUGCAUGGCAUUAAAAGCGAGGACCUGAACACUUCGCUAUUAGUACACACUCCCGUGGGCCAAUGUCGGACCUCCAUGAUUUGCAACGACGUCCCCGUUGAAAUCGAAGGACUGGAAUUCCUUGCCUCUCCCAUCGUACUGAAGUCUUGUAGCAUCGACCUCAUUCUGGGAAUGGAUUGGUUGAAAGCGCAUACUACUUCUAUAGUUUGCGCCACUAAGGUCGUCCAUUUGCUACACCCUUCUGAUGAAAUAAUUGCUUACCAAGCUCAUCUAGUUCAGAACGCCGAGUGUUCUCCAAACUCGAUUUGA